CCCAGGGAUGGAUUUCCCUCCCCCUCUCUCAGCCCAGGUGCAGCUCAGGACCUCCCCCCUCACUUUGGGCUCCCCAAGCCCCCCGAGCUGAGCUGGGAUCACCCCAGGGCCAGCCCACCCCCAGCAGCCCUGCAGGCACCUCCCAGGUCCCCAGUGAACAUCCCCCAGGCCAGGCUAAUUAAAAGGUGAUUAAUGAGCAUCUUCCCCCUGUUUUGGACCCAGGGCUGGGCUUUGCUCUGCUGCCUUUCCCUGGGAUCCAGGAAAGGUGGGGAGGGGGAGAUUUGGGGUUUGGGAGGGGCAGAUUUGGGAGAUGCUGAUUUAGGAUUUGGGAGAUGCUGAUUUGGGAUUUGGGAGAUGCGGAUUUGGGAUUUGGGAGAUGCAGAUUUGGGAUUUGGGAGGGGCAGAUUCAGGAUUUGGGAGAUGCAGAUUUGGGAUUUGGGAGGGGCAGAUUCAGGAUUUGGGAGAUGCAGAUUUGGGAUUUGGGAGGUGCUGAUUUAGGAUUUGGGAGGGGCAGAUUCAGGAUUUGGGAGAUGCAGAUUUGGGAUUUGGGAGAUGCAGAUUCGGGAUUUGGGAGACGCUGAUUUAGGAUUUGGGAGGGGAAGAUUCAGGGUUUAGGAGGGGCAGAUUCAGGAUUUGGGAGGUGCUGAUUUGGGAGAUGUGGAUUCAGGAUUUGAGACAUGCUGAUUUGGAAUUUGGGAGAUGCAGAUUCAGGAUUUGGGAGAUGCAGAUGUGGGGUGAUUUAGGAUUUGGGAGAUGCAGAUUCAGGAUUUGGAACAUGCUGAUUUGGGAUUUGGGAGAUGCUGAUUUAGGAUUUGGGAGAUGCUGAUUUGGGAUUUGGGAGAUGCAGAUUCAGGAGCAGGAGUGCCAGGACUCAGGGAUACCAGGAUGCCAAGAAGACCAGGAGCCUUCCCUGCCACCAAUUCUGGAAUUCCGUAUUUGGGAGAUGUGCAGAUUUGGGAUUUGGGAGGUGCAAAUUUAGGAUUUGGGAGGGGCAGAUUUGGGAGAUGCAGAUUCAGGAUUUGGGAAGAGCAGAUUUAGGAUUUGGGAGGGGCAGAUUUGGGAGAUGCAGAUUCAGGAUUUGGGAGGGGCAGAUUUAGG
This 1098-nucleotide long non-coding RNA is filed under the name Geospiza fortis (medium ground-finch). Its description in RNAcentral is "lncRNA (ENSGFOG00000013933.1)". The record is from RNAcentral. Lineage: Eukaryota; Metazoa; Chordata; Aves; Passeriformes; Thraupidae.